Non-coding RNA from Callithrix jacchus (white-tufted-ear marmoset), 3268 nucleotides. The record is from RefSeq and is a predicted model, not a curated record. NCBI's taxonomy places the organism in Eukaryota, Metazoa, Chordata, Mammalia, Primates, Cebidae.
AUGAGAGGGGCCAGCAGGCUGCCCUGUGCUGUGAGUGAAGGGAGAGUAGCGUCUUUUUCCAAAGAUAACUUGCGGUGUUGCCCUCGAGCCAACAAGAAUAUGAGCCGACCUCUGUGCAGGGUUUCAGGGCCACCUCCAGGCUGCAGGGACGGGUGUCACCCCCUUGGUUUUCUCUCUGCCUUGGUGUCCUGGCUUCAGACUCCCCCUUCCUGUUGAGACCGGAGUGCCUCGGUCCCUCCCCAGCCUGAGUCUUCUCGCUCUGCCAGGUGGGCUGAGGCCUGUCCUUGGUUCCUGUGGAGCUGGCCCUGGCUGGGCAGGAUGGGGCGUCACCACAUCCCUGGCCUUGCUGGAAACACAGGGCUCUGCUGACCUGCAACCAUCUGUGAGGCCCGUGUGGACGGGAGGGGAGCAGGGUGGCCUCGAGAGAGGGGCUCAGGAACUGGGACCUCGUGGCCUGCAUCGGUGGGACCCUCACUCAGGCCUUCUCUCCGCUACCAGUGUGUCUAAAAGACUUGGAACCUGAGAACCCUGAGUCACAGUGCCCUUGGUCCUGGGUCAUACGCAGGCCCUGGUGAGACCACCCAGCUGGUGGUGUCCAGAGACAGCAUUGCUCACCUAGAGCCUUACUUGGGAGCCUCACCAGGGCGGGGGGCUGAGGGCCUCCCCGGCUCAGCCCUGUGUGGCCCGGCGCUCCUCCCCCAGGCUCCCCUGUCCAGUGGUGCAGGGCUCUCUCAGGGUGAACUCGCCCCUUUUGCACUGGAAGGCCCUUCCUUUGGCCUGAGUACUUUUCCUGUUCACGCCUCAGUCCCGUGGACCCAGCCUGUCAGUAGCAGGUGCCUGAACAGCAGACGGGUGGGGGGAUGCAGAAGGGGGCCUUGUCUUUCCAGCAGCAGUUUAGGAAUGGAGUGGGGGAGUAGGCGUCUUCUCCAAAGGCUUUCCCCACCUGGAGCAGGGGAGUGUGGGGUGCCCCAGUAGGGGCUCCUCUGUGGGGAGGGGAGCUGCCUGGGGGGCUGGGCCAGAGGCAGCGGCUCAGAGAGGCAGCGUUCCAGCCUUGGUGGGGAGGAAAGUGUUCAUUCUUUGCCUUCCUGGAGCUUCCAGCCAGAGCUCAGUUGAGGGACUGGGUGGAGCCUGCAGCUGAGUCUGCCCGAGACAGAGACUGUCAGAGAUUCCAGAAGCCUCUCAUUCCUGCCCCCCUCCAUUCCUGCCUUUUAGUGGCGUGGAUCCCCAGAGGUGCCCUCUGUCCAGCCACCAUCCUGAGGCAGACUGACGAGCCUCACACCUGUAACAGGCCCCUGGCCAGCUGGGCCCCUUCCAGGCACUGCCCGGGAGCCCCGGCUGCCCCUGGAGCAUGGUGGAAACUGGAGGGUGCAGGUGCUCUGGGGCCCAAUGAUGGGAGCCUGAGAGACCCCACAGCAACACCUGGUGCCUUCUGCAGCCAGUGCCCGUCCGUUUGCGCCCAGACACUCGGGAAUGCCCGUGGCUCCAGAGGAAGAAGCCCAGGGCUGGGGCCUCGGUUUUGGGGGCUCGGCUUCUUGGCAACCCUGCCAUUUCCAGCUCUGGCUGCCUGUCUGUAAAGCACUGAGGACCCCGCCGUGGGCCGCCAACCCCUGAAAGCAGAACCCUGGCCUCCCCGGCCCCUGCAGCCUUCCCCACCAGCCCUCGUGGCCAGGGUUCUUCCUGCAGCCCUCCUGCCCCUUCUCAUCGGCCUUGUGCUUGUACAACCAGUGCUGUUGGUUUGAAAAGGUGACUCGUGAGGAGUGUGGCUCGUUACUGAGUAGAGAGGUAGAGUUUCUAUUUAACCAGACCUGUAGUAGUAUUACCAAUCUGGUUCAAUUUAAGGUGAUUUUUUGGUAAUUAUUUUGGUGGGACAAUCUUUAAUUUUCUAAAGAUAGCACUAACAUCAGCUCAUUAGCCACCUGUGCCUGUCCCCGGCUCGGCCCUGCUGGAUGAAGCGGCUUUCCCGCAGGCCCCCCUUCACAGUGGCUGCUUCCUGGGCCACCAGGGCACCCCAGCGCCUUCGGGUGUGUUCCUCAGCUGGUCACCUCCUUUCUUUGCCUUCCGAUGGGGCUUCUGAGGCUGAGGAGUGAAGAUGCCUCAGAGCCAGGCCACCCUAGGCUUCAUCGGGUGUGUUUUGGAAGCCGGCCUGCUGGGACCCUCCACCCUAGGGCCUGUGUCAGCCACCUGCCCUCUGCACCCUGGAAGCACAUGGGCUCUGGGAAAGACAGCCCUGACCUUCAGUGUUCCAAGUCACGGUGUUCCCCAAGAAUUCUGGGCUGGCAGCCUAAUGGCAGUACUGGAGAAGACCCUGAGCCUUUCCCCAUGGGGCACCCAGGAGGGCCUGGCCGGCAUGUGCAGCCUGUGGGUGGCCGGCUGAUGUCCACGCUGUGGUCAGGGUGCGUGACCUGGUGCCCAUCCAUGCAGGUGUGUGGUGUAAGCAUGUAUGUGCUGUACAGAUGUGUGUGGAGAGCCACGCACCAGGGCCACGGAGAGGCGGAGCAGUUACCAAUGUUUCGUGUUUAUUUUUAAUCAAGACGUUUCCCCUGUUUUCCUAUAAAUUUGCUUAGUGUAAGCAAGUACAAAAGGACCCUCCUUUGGUGAAAUCCGGGUUCGAAUGAAUAUCUCAAGGCAGGAGAUGCAUCUAUUUUAAGAUGCUUUGGAGCAGACAGCUUUAGCCGUUCCCAACCCUUAGCAAUGCCUUAGCUGGGACGCAUAGCUAAUACUUUAGAGAGGAUGACGGAUACAUAACGAGAGUAAAGAUAAGAGAAAAUGUCUAAAGCAUCUGGAAAGGUAAAAAAAAAUCUAUUUUUGUACAAAUGUAAUUUUAUCCCUCAUGUAUACUUGGAUAUGGCGGGGGAGGGCUGGGACUGUUUUGUUUCUGCUUCUAGAGAUUGAUGUGAAAACUUCCUCCGAGAGAUGCCAGGGCAGACGAUGGCAGAGGAGAGGACCCCUGUGACAGCGGCGAGGCUUGGGAGGAAACCGCCGCCGGGGGCAUCUUCCUUGGGGACAGAAGGGUGGGCCUGAGGCUUUCAAGGGUUUUCUUCCCCUUUUGAGUAAUUUUUAAAGCCUUGCUCUGUUGUGUCCUGUGGCCGGCCUUCCUGUGACUGACUGAAACGGCUUCCCCUACGAUCGUCUGAAACAUGGCAGCCACAGGUGCCAGGGUCUGAUGGACAGUGGCAUAGAAUUGUGGGAAAGAAACACGCAAAGGGAGAAACGUGAGCGAAGAAACAAAAUAUGAGUGUUUAAAAUACAUCGCCGUUCAGUUCUUGUU